This 64-nucleotide transfer RNA is filed under the name Prosadenoporus spectaculum. RNAcentral's name for it is "tRNA-Phe". Lineage: Eukaryota; Metazoa; Nemertea; Enopla; Monostilifera; Prosorhochmidae. The record is from RNAcentral.
ACUUUGGUAGCUUAAGAUAGAGCGUGACGUUGAAGUUGUUAAGGUGGUAAUGUGCUCCAGGGUG